UAAUGGCAGGUCAGCAUACUGCCGUGAAUACGUUCCCGGGCCUUGUACACACCGCCCGUCACACCAUGAGAGUUGGGAAUACCCGAAGCCUGUGAGCUAACUUUUAGAGGCAGCAGUCGAAGGUAGAAUCAAUGAUUGGGGUGAAGUCGUAACAAGGUAAC
This 161-nucleotide ribosomal RNA is filed under the name uncultured bacterium. RNAcentral's name for it is "partial 16S ribosomal RNA". It matches the Rfam family "Bacterial small subunit ribosomal RNA", at positions 1339 to 1500 of the family's 1533-position model. The record is from RNAcentral.